GGAGACACUUCAACAGCCACCCUGACACCACAGCCCAGGGGCUGGUUACUUGCUUCUGUCUCCAGCAGCCACACAAGCACCAUGAAGAGGCUGCUGUGCUCUCUGCUGGGGCUUCUGUGCACCCAGGUUUGCUGUGAGUCUGGGUGUCCUCACCUGAGAGGCACCUGAGAGGGCACCUGAGAGGAUCUGGCUCAGCACAUGGAGGGGUGGGGAGAGCAGCUCAGGAGUCCUGCAGAGCUCCCACCUUCUCAGAGGAUAUGGGUGUGCUCAGGGCUCUGUGGACACUGCAGUGACAGCCAUCUGUGUCUCUUUCUCUGUUUCUAAUCAGGGGUGAAAGGACAGCAAGUGCAGCAGAGCCCCGCGUCCUUGGUUCUGCAGGAGGGGGAGAACGCAGAGCUGCAGUGUAACUUUUCCUCCACAGCAACCCAGCUGCAGUGGUUUUACCAAAGUCCUGGGGGAAGCCUCGUCAGCCUGUUGUCCAAUCCUUCUGGGACAAAGCACACUGGAAGACUGACAUCCACCACAGUCACUAAGGAACGUCGCAGCUCUUUGCACAUUUCCUCCUCCCAGACAACAGACUCAGGCACUUAUCUCUGUGCUAUAGAUCCACAGUGCUCCCCACACACCUGCAGCCUGUACACAAACCUACAGCUGGGUGGGUGAGUCCCUUACAAGUCACAAGAAAUCAGAGAGUCCCAAAGAACAUCUGCCUGGCUUAAUAUCCCUUUCUUGUAUUUGUAGAGUUUUAACUUCAGGUAAGCUUUGGCCUAGUAGGUUCAGGACUUGGGUCUUUAUCUUCAUUUCUCAAUACAUAGUUCUUCCUGAGACAUAAAUGUCCAUUCUAGAACUAGCAGAGAAGCUGGCAGGAGGAUUGAAUCAAGGUGAUCAUUUAAGCAGUCUGUGCAGAAACGGCUGCUGAGCUCUCUGCUGGGGCUCCUGUGCUGUGAGUCUUUGAGGUUUGUGAGGUUUGCUGUGAGUCUGGCUCUCAGCAUUCAGGGCACCUAAGAGGAUCAGGCUCAACACAUGGAGGGGUGGGGAGAGCAGCUCAGGAGUCCUGCAGAGCUCCCACCUUCUCAGAAGACAUGGGGGUGUUCCGGGCUCUGUGGACACUGCAGUGACAGCCAUCUGUGUCUCUAAAGUAUGAAAAAGUACUCAAACAGAUAUUGUUAUUUGAACAAUAUAUAUAGCCCUGUAUAUAUAUAUCACUGUAUAUAUAUAUAUAUAUAUAUAUAUAUAUAUAGUUUAAAUAACUUAAAAUAGAAUAUUUUCAAAGCCUUUACAACUUGAUAAAAGAGAAUGAUUGACUCCUUCUAUAAUGAGAAAAAUGAGCAGACUCUCUAAAUGAACGUGUAUGGGAUAAGGACAAAUACGUAGAAUGCAGUUAGGGAUUGUCUGGUUUAGUACAGUGGUUGUUGCAGGGUCUCCAUGACAUUACUAGAAGAUGGAGGUCAGUGCAGAAAACCACAACAAAUCAAGGUGCAGCGCUGCGGAGCAUAGUAACAGUAGAUAUGUCUACAGUACAACUCCUCCUCCUGCUAAGGCUCAGGAAACACUGAAGAAGACAGGAGGAAAGAUGGCUAGAGCCACAGGAUCAGGGUGUUGCUUUGUAAUUGCGACUCCUAGGAAAGUCGGAAGUUGCACAGAUGAGAUCUCAUCAACAUAUCUCCUCAAUGUGAGCUGAAACACAACAGAAAAAGUAGAUGGGGAAAGCACACGUGUUCCCAAUCUUAGACAAUGAACUACUGGAAACCAAGGAUGCUGAUGGUGGAGAAAUAGUCUUUUCCUGAGAUAAGCACACCAAAUGGUUAUCCAAUACUGAUUGGUCAGUCCUGAGAACACGCAUACUAGUAACACGAUAUAGACUGAACAAGUUGUUGUAUGUAUGCCUUUAUGAAUAAAUAUGUGUACACAUACAUAUGAAACAACAAUCAAUGAAAAUGGAGGUCAUAAAUUGGAAAGAGCAAAUAGAUGGGGAGCUUGGGGAAGAGGAAAAGGAAGGGGGCAUUGAUGUGAUUGUAUGUAAUCCCCAAACUAAGAGAAACAUAAAAAUUAGCAGAAAAAGUAUGCUUAUGGUUUAAUAAUCAUCAUUUGUACAAGUGGCCUGUAUAAGAGGUAAAUAAAAUAUAACUCAUGUCAUUC
Molecule: long non-coding RNA, 2139 nt
Filed under: Mus musculus (house mouse)
Lineage: Eukaryota; Metazoa; Chordata; Mammalia; Rodentia; Muridae
Description: long non-coding RNA chr14:52942682-52944821
Source: RNAcentral